GACGAACGCUGGCGGCGUGCUUAACACAUGCAAGUCGAACGAUGAACCCGGAGCUUGCUCCGGUGGAUUAGUGGCGAACGGGUGAGUAACACGUGAGUAACCUGCCCUUGACUCUGGGAUAACUGCGGGAAACUGUAGCUAAUACCGGAUACGACCCUCGGCGGCAUCGCCAGGGGGUGGAAAGAAUUUCGGUCAAGGAUGGACUCGCGGCCUAUCAGGUAGUUGGUGAGGUAACGGCUCACCAAGCCUACGACGGUUAACUGGUCUGAGAGGAUGAUCAGUCACACUGGAACUGAGACACGGUCCAGACUCCUACGGGAGGCAGCAGUGAGGAAUAUUGCGCAAUGGGCGAAAGCCUGACGCAGCGACGCCGCGUGGAGGACGAAGGCCUUCGGGUUGUAAACUCCUGUCAGUUGGGAAGAGAAUGGACGGUACCAACUGAGGUAGCUUCGGCUAACUACGUGCCAGCCGCCGCCGUAA
RNAcentral lists this ribosomal RNA (480 nucleotides) under uncultured bacterium. RNAcentral's name for it is "partial 16S ribosomal RNA". It matches the Rfam family "Bacterial small subunit ribosomal RNA", at positions 28 to 523 of the family's 1533-position model. The record is from RNAcentral.